Long non-coding RNA from Psammomys obesus (fat sand rat), 662 nucleotides. RefSeq lists it as uncharacterized. Lineage: Eukaryota; Metazoa; Chordata; Mammalia; Rodentia; Muridae. The record is from RefSeq and is a predicted model, not a curated record. The transcript has 4 exons.
UUAAACAGGGUUUUAUUAUGUAGCCCUCACUGGCCUAGAGCUUCCUAUCCUAUGUAGACCAAGUUGGCAUCAACUCGCAGGUCCAGCUCCUGGCAGUCUUUGGGGACCCUAAGAUCUGGACAUAAUUUUGGGGACUCAUUCCAGAUCCCCAAGAUCCCCUAAGGCCCUCGGCAUGUGGAGCUGAACACUGGCCAAUUUCCUAGAUCAAAUCAAAUUCUGAAACUCACAGCCAAGCAUCAGGCAGAGACUGGGAGUCCUGAGGAAGAGUGUGAGUGAAGGUUAGAAGUACCUUGAAGGGACAAGAAUGCUACAAGAAGACCAACAGUGUCAAAUAAUCUAGACCCAAGACAGCUUACACAGAUGGAAACACCAACCAAAGAUCAUGCAUGGACUUGACCUCUAUCCCCUACCUACAUGUAACUGAUGGGCAUUUUGAUCUUCAUAAGCCAUGACAACCAGAAGCAUGUUAUUUUCACUGUUGCAAACUUACAUGGGAAGAUCCAGAUGACAGCAACCUGGAGCCCCUGUGUGGGUGAAUGCCACGUUUCCUCUUGCUUCUUGUCUAAUGCUGAACAUACAUCUGAGAGUAUAUUGUAUUUGCGUAUUGAUGGAACUGCUGAUGUUACAGAAUUGAUUUUCGUUGAACACAUGUUAUAGCUAAA